UGAGACUUCAUAUUCUUUCUACAUCUCCAG
RNAcentral lists this non-coding RNA (30 nucleotides) under Mus musculus (house mouse). Lineage: Eukaryota; Metazoa; Chordata; Mammalia; Rodentia; Muridae. The record is from RNAcentral.